Gallus gallus (chicken) is the source of this 1027-nucleotide long non-coding RNA. RefSeq lists it as uncharacterized. Lineage: Eukaryota; Metazoa; Chordata; Aves; Galliformes; Phasianidae. The transcript is spliced from 3 exons. The record is from RefSeq and is a predicted model, not a curated record.
GGGGGGGCGGAGGGGUCGCCAUGCCGGCCGCUCCACUCGGCGGCGCGGCACCAGAGGCGGCGUGAAAUCGCAUUGAGGCCGUCCCGUCAGCCUUUAGUACAGUCUGCUCAGCUUGAAGUUUUGCUGUUCAUCUUAACCAGAAAAGUACCAAAACAAGGCUCAUAGCUUGCCAUUCUUGUCUGCAAUAUGUAAUACAUCUGCGGAACUAGCACCUCAUACCUCGGGCAGUUUCCCUGUGCAGGUGCCUUCAUCCAGCAGGAGGAGCUGCGGGAGCAGCAAAGGCUCAAGCUGCAGCUCUUGGAAUGGACCUGAGAUGGAAGAGCACCCUUCUCCAGGGCCAGGGUCAGAUUUCUGCACUCUAGGACAAUCUUCUGACAGUCAUCUGACAAUCAUCAUGCAAUCAUCUGUGCAGUCAUCUGUGCACUGUCUAAGUCCAUAGAGGAUUACUGAUCCCCAGCUGGAUCCUGACCCUCCAUGAAGUCGGAGCUGAGCAGCACUAGUCUCUGUUUAUGUGCCUGCCACCUGCCAGGACUCAGACAGCGAACUGGAGCCAUCAGGCAUUGCAGACUGAGAUGGAUGCUGGGAUGCUAAUAGCCCAGGGACCACCAGGGCAUGCAGCCAGAUUUCUUUAAAGAAAACUUAUGGUUUUUGCUGGACUUAUGUUUAACUGCUUGAAAUCUUGACUGUAUUAAAGUACAGCUUUAGUUAAAGCCUAGGCGGUUUCAAUUCACUUUUUCCUCCAUUUUGUUAAUCCUAUUAUUAGGGGCAACAGACAUUUUUAGAAACAAAAAGUCAAGAAGACGCACAGAAUUGAGUUAUUUAGUUUUGCUUGCUUUCCUCAGUUGAAUGUCUCAGAUACAUUAUUAACAGAUCAGCAAAAGCCUCAUUCUUUCUUAGGUUAAUGAGCAAUAAUCAUAGAUUACUCUACACUUGUGGAAAAGUUCUAAUUGCAAGAAUCCUGUGCUGCUGCAGUAAUAGCCAGGUGCCCAACACCCUCAGGCUGUGUCACUUACUAGGCUGCCGAGUC